UAGAUCUGAAUACUGCAGCUGGCACCAAAGAACACUUCUAAUCUGCCUCUUCAAACACAGUUUGUCUCUCUGGCAGUGCCCUAAAUGGUGUUUAUCAUCGUAUCAAAGUGAGGUAAUGAGCCAAGACAGCCCUGCCAUUUCGGAGAAAACAACACCACAAAAGCUUCUUCCCUAAUUGAAUCAUGGUGGAAAGCGUGAUGUUCAAGAGAAAAGCAUUUCUAUGUAUUACAAGUUAUAAUAAAAUCAAUAAGAUGCA
This is a long non-coding RNA of Misgurnus anguillicaudatus (oriental weatherfish), 256 nucleotides long. RefSeq lists it as uncharacterized. The record is from RefSeq and is a predicted model, not a curated record. Lineage: Eukaryota; Metazoa; Chordata; Actinopteri; Cypriniformes; Cobitidae.